CUUGCUCCCUGAUGUUAGCGGCGGACGGGUGAGUAACACGUGGGUAACCUGCCUGUAAGACUGGGAUAACUCCGGGAAACCGGGGCUAAUACCGGAUGGUUGUUUGAACCGCAUGGUUCAGACAUAAAAGGUGGCUUCGGCUACCACUUACAGAUGGACCCGCGGCGCAUUAGCUAGUUGGUGAGGUAACGGCUCACCAAGGCGACGAUGCGUAGCCGACCUGAGAGGGUGAUCGGCCACACUGGGACUGAGACACGGCCCAGACUCCUACGGGAGGCAGCAGUAGGGAAUCUUCCGCAAUGGACGAAAGUCUGACGGAGCAACGCCGCGUGAGUGAUGAAGGUUUUCGGAUCGUAAAGCUCUGUUGUUAGGGAAGAACAAGUGCCGUUCAAAUAGGGCGGCACCUUGACGGUACCUAACCAGAAAGCCACGGCUAACUACGUGCCAGCAGCCGCGGUAAUACGUAGGUGGCAAGCGUUGUCCGGAAUUAUUGGGCGUAAAGGGCUCGCAGGCGGUUUCUUAAGUCUGAUGUGAAAGCCCCCGGCUCAACCGGGGAGGGUCAUUGGAAACUGGGGAACUUGAGUGCAGAAGAGGAGAGUGGAAUUCCACGUGUAGCGGUG
This 620-nucleotide ribosomal RNA is filed under the name Bacillus siamensis. RNAcentral describes it as "bacterial SSU rRNA". It matches the Rfam family "Bacterial small subunit ribosomal RNA", at positions 79 to 683 of the family's 1533-position model. Lineage: Bacteria; Bacillati; Bacillota; Bacilli; Caryophanales; Bacillaceae. The record is from RNAcentral.